RNAcentral lists this ribosomal RNA (263 nucleotides) under uncultured bacterium. RNAcentral's name for it is "partial 16S ribosomal RNA". It matches the Rfam family "Bacterial small subunit ribosomal RNA", at positions 793 to 1055 of the family's 1533-position model. The record is from RNAcentral.
GUCCACGCCGUAAACGAUGGAUACUAGCUGUUGGGAGGCGAUCUCAGUGGCUAAGCGAAAGUGAUAAGUAUCCCACCUGGGGGAGUACGUUCGCAAAGAAUAGAAACUCAAAGUAAUUGACGGGGGCCCGCACAAGCGGUUGAGCAUGUGGUUUAAUUCGAUGAUAACGCGAAGGAACCUUACCAAGGCUUAAAUGUAGAUUGACCGGUUUGGAAACAGAUCUUUCGCAAGACAAAUUUACAAAGGUGCUGCAUGGUUGUCGU